AGAGUCCUGACCUAGCUGCUUGUGGAUCAACAUGUAGAACUCUCAGCUCCUUCUCCAGCAUCAUGUCUGCCUGGAUGCUGCCUUGCUUACCUGCCAUAAUAAUGGAUUGAACCUCUAGAAAUCUUGUCUGAAGAGCCGAGAAGAUGAACCGCCAUUUUAAGAUGACGUCCAGAGCAGAUAAGCAAGAGGAAGACACCAAAUGUGUUCUUUAAGGGCCCAGAUGAUACUGAUGUGCCAGGUUUCAGAUUUGAGAACAGAGCUGAGGCCAUGGUGCACCUGGAGCCUAAAGCAAAGACGGAAAAACCUGAAUGACAGCCCAGGAGUUUCCAGAGCAGUACAAAGUCCUCUAUCUGGCUCCUACAACUGUCAUAAUAAGAAGUGCCAUCAUUUGCUGAUGAAAAUUAGGAAUGUAUUAACAGUAAUCACAUUUAACAGCUACAUCUGUGGGGUUUGCCAGACGUAACACAUUUUGAAUGAACUUGAUCACCGUUGCUUCCUAUUGAUAGGUUGAGCUACAAACAAGGAAGCCAAUUUAAUAUGCAUCCCCAUUGAAUUUAAACUGACCACCAAGCUUAUAAUCUCUGGCUGUAGAGACGAGGACACAAAGAGUUAAGUAACUUCCCCAAAGUCACACAAGCAGCCAUGCUGUUGUGACAGAAAACAUUAUGUGUUCAGGGUCUUGGAGGAGGAAAUGUCCCUUCUCAAACAUUCAGCC
Molecule: long non-coding RNA, 715 nt
Filed under: Mus caroli (Ryukyu mouse)
Lineage: Eukaryota; Metazoa; Chordata; Mammalia; Rodentia; Muridae
Description: lncRNA (MGP_CAROLIEiJ_G0006121.1)
Source: RNAcentral